GCAGUAGCCGCGGGAAUACGAAGGGGGCUAGCGUUGUUCGGAAUUACUGGGCGUAAAGCGCACGUAGGCGGAUAUUUAAGUCAGGGGUGAAAUCCCAGAGCUCAACUCUGGAACUGCCUUUGAUACUGGGUAUCUUGAGUAUGGAAGAGGUUAGUGGAAUUGCGAGUGUAGAGGUGAAAUUCGUAGAUAUUCGCAGGAACACCAGUGGCGAAGGCGGCUAACUGGUCCAUAACUGACGCUGAGGUGCGAAGGCGUGGGGAGCAAACAGGAUUAGAUACCCCCGUAGUCCCUGUCUCUUAUAC
RNAcentral lists this ribosomal RNA (302 nucleotides) under uncultured bacterium. RNAcentral describes it as "partial 16S ribosomal RNA". It matches the Rfam family "Bacterial small subunit ribosomal RNA", at positions 508 to 807 of the family's 1533-position model. The record is from RNAcentral.